UAAGCGACUAAGCGUACACGGUGGAUGCCUAGGCAGUCAGAGGCGAUGAAGGGCGUGCUAAUCUGCGAAAAGCGUCGGUAAGCUGAUAUGAAGCGUAAUAACCGACGAUACCCGAAUGGGGAAACCCAGUGCAAUUCGUUGCACUAUUGCAUGGUGAAUACAUAGCCAUGCAAGGCGAACCGGGGGAACUGAAACAUCUAAGUACCCCGAGGAAAAGAAAUCAACCGAGAUUCCCCCAGUAGCGGCGAGCGAACGGGGAAGAGCCCAGAGUCUGAAUCAGUUUGUGUGUUAGUGGAAGCGUCUGGAAAGUCGCACGGUACAGGGUGAUAGUCCCGUACACAAAAACACACUGGCUGUGAACUCGAUGAGUAGGGCGGGACACGUGACAUCCUGUCUGAAUAUGGGGGGACCAUCCUCCAAGGCUAAAUACUCCUGACUGACCGAUAGUGAACCAGUACCGUGAGGGAAAGGCGAAAAGAACCCCGGCGAGGGGAGUGAAAUAGAACCUGAAACCGUGUACGUACAAGCAGUGGGAGCCCCACCACCAAAGCAUUCUCUGGUGUUAAAGGCCAUGCUGAAGCUCAAUCACGCGUUGGCGGAGCGUCCUUUGCGACGCCCAACACAAAACAAGCGGUGAGUGCUUUGGGGUGGGUGACUGCGUACCUUUGUAUAAUGGGUCAGCGACUUAUAUUUUGUAGCAAGGUUAACCGAAUAGGGGAGCCGUAGGGAAACCGAGUCUUAACUGGGCGUCUAGUUGCAAGGUAUAGACCCGAAACCCGGUGAUCUAGCCAUGGGCAGGUUGAAGGUUGGGUAACACUAACUGGAGGACCGAACCGACUAAUGUUGAAAAAUUAGCGGAUGACUUGUGGCUGGGGGUGAAAGGCCAAUCAAACCGGGAGAUAGCUGGUUCUCCCCGAAAGCUAUUUAGGUAGCGCCUCGUGAACUCAUCUUCGGGGGUAGAGCACUGUUUCGGCUAGGGGUCCAUCCCGGAUUACCAAACCGAUGCAAACUCCGAAUACCGAAGAAUGUUAUCACGGGAGACACACGGCGGGUGCUAACGUCCGUCGUGAAGAGGGAAACAACCCAGACCGCCAGCUAAGGUCCCAAAGUCAUGGUUAAGUGGGAAACGAUGUGGGAAGGCAUAGACAGCCAGGAUGUUGGCUUAGAAGCAGCCAUCAUUUAAAGAAAGCGUAAUAGCUCACUGGUCGAGUCGGCCUGCGCGGAAGAUGUAACGGGGCUAAACCAUGCACCGAAGCUGCGGCAGCGAACGUAUCACUUAAAACGCUUAACGUUGCGAAGCGACGUUCAAGCCACUAAAACGUUGAGUUGGCGUGAGAGCUGACAGACGGAAAGGCGUUUUAAGGAUACGUUCGUUGGGUAGGGGAGCGUUCUGUAAGCCGUUGAAGGUGGCCUGUGAGGGCUGCUGGAGGUAUCAGAAGUGCGAAUGCUGACAUAAGUAACGAUAAUGCGGGUGAAAAACCCGCACGCCGGAAGACCAAGGGUUCCUGUCCAACGUUAAUCGGGGCAGGGUGAGUCGACCCCUAAGGCGAGGCUGAAAAGCGUAGUCGAUGGGAAACAGGUUAAUAUUCCUGUACUGGGUGUGACUGCGAAGGGGGGACGGAGAAGGCUAGGCUAGCCGGGCGACGGUUGUCCCGGUUUAAGCAUGUAGGCGGAGUGACUUGGUAAAUCCGGUUGCUUAUCAACGCUGAGGUGUGAUGACGAGCCACUACGGUGGUGAAGUAGUUGAUGCCAAGCUUCCAGGAAAAGCCUCUAAGCAUCAGGUGACAUUCAAUCGUACCCCAAACCGACACAGGUGGUCAGGUAGAGAAUACUCAGGCGCUUGAGAGAACUCGGGUGAAGGAACUAGGCAAAAUGGUGCCGUAACUUCGGGAGAAGGCACGCUGGCAUUAGGUAAAGAGACUUGCUCUCGGCGCCGAAGCCAGUCGCAGAUACCAGCUGGCUGCAACUGUUUAAUAAAAACACAGCACUGUGCAAACACGAAAGUGGACGUAUACGGUGUGACGCCUGCCCGGUGCUGGAAGGUUAAUUGAUGGGGUCAGCCGCAAGGCGAAGCUCUUGAUCGAAGCCCCAGUAAACGGCGGCCGUAACUAUAACGGUCCUAAGGUAGCGAAAUUCCUUGUCGGGUAAGUUCCGACCUGCACGAAUGGCGUAAUGAUGGCCAGGCUGUCUCCACCCGAGACUCAGUGAAAUUGAACUCGCUGUGAAGAUGCAGUGUACCCGCGGCAAGACGGAAAGACCCCGUGAACCUUUACUAUAGCUUGACACUGAAUAUUGAGCCUUGAUGUGUAGGAUAGGUGGGAGGCAUCGAAGCGUGGACGCCAGUCUGCGUGGAGCCAACCUUGAAAUACCACCCUUUAAUGUUUGAUGUUCUAACUCGGCCCCAUAAUCUGGGGUGAGGACAGUGUCUGGUGGGUAGUUUGACUGGGGCGGUCUCCUCCCAAAGAGUAACGGAGGAGCACGAAGGUUAGCUAAUCACGGUCGGACAUCGUGAGGUUAGUGCAAAGGCAUAAGCUAGCUUGACUGCGAGAGUGACGGCUCGAGCAGGUACGAAAGUAGGUCUUAGUGAUCCGGUGGUUCUGAAUGGAAGGGCCAUCGCUCAACGGAUAAAAGGUACUCCGGGGAUAACAGGCUGAUACCGCCCAAGAGUUCAUAUCGACGGCGGUGUUUGGCACCUCGAUGUCGGCUCAUCACAUCCUGGGGCUGAAGUAGGUCCCAAGGGUAUGGCUGUUCGCCAUUUAAAGUGGUACGCGAGCUGGGUUUAGAACGUCGUGAGACAGUUCGGUCCCUAUCUGCCGUGGGCGUUGGAAGAUUGAGAGGGGCUGCUCCUAGUACGAGAGGACCGGAGUGGACGCAUCACUGGUGUUCGGGUUGUCAUGCCAAUGGCAUUGCCCGGUAGCUAAAUGCGGAAAAGAUAAGCGCUGAAAGCAUCUAAGCGCGAAACUUGCCUCGAGAUGAGUCUUCCCUGGGGCUUUAAGCCCCCUGAAGGAACGUUAAAGACUAUGACGUUGAUAGGCUGGGUGUGUAAGUGCAGCGAUGCAUUGAGCUAACCAGUACUAAUGAUCCGUGAGGCUUAACCU
Molecule: ribosomal RNA, 3098 nt
Filed under: Yersinia ruckeri
Lineage: Bacteria; Pseudomonadati; Pseudomonadota; Gammaproteobacteria; Enterobacterales; Yersiniaceae
Description: bacterial LSU rRNA
Rfam family: Bacterial large subunit ribosomal RNA
Source: RNAcentral